This 1426-nucleotide ribosomal RNA is filed under the name uncultured organism. Its description in RNAcentral is "SSU rRNA". It matches the Rfam family "Bacterial small subunit ribosomal RNA". The record is from RNAcentral.
UUGCGGCGUGCCUAACACAUGCAAGUCGAGCGAAGCACUUUGCUUAGAUUCUUCGGAUGAAGAGGAUUGUGACUGAGCGGCGGACGGGUGAGUAACGCGUGGGUAACCUGCCUCAUACAGGGGGAUAACAGUUAGAAAUGACUGCUAAUACCGCAUAAGACCACAGCACCGCAUGGUGCGGGGGUAAAAACUCCGGUGGUAUGAGAUGGACCCGCGUCUGAUUAGCUAGUUGGUAAGGUAACGGCUUACCAAGGCGACGAUCAGUAGCCGACCUGAGAGGGUGACCGGCCACAUUGGGACUGAGACACGGCCCAAACUCCUACGGGAGGCGGCAGUGGGGAAUAUUGCACAAUGGGGGAAACCCUGAUGCAACGACGCCGCGUGAGCGAAGAAGUAUUUCGGUAUGUAAAGCUCUAUCAGCAGGGAAGAAAAUGACGGUACCUGACUAAGAAGCACCGGCUAAAUACGUGCCAGCAGCCGCGGUAAUACGUAUGGUGCAAGCGUUAUCCGGAUUUACUGGGUGUAAAGGGAGCGUAGACGGAUGGGCAAGUCUGAUGUGAAAACCCGGGGCUCAACCCCGGGACUGCAUUGGAAACUGUUCAUCUAGAGUGCUGGAGAGGUAAGUGGAAUUCCUAGUGUAGCGGUGAAAUGCGUAGAUAUUAGGAGGAACACCAGUGGCGAAGGCGGCUUACUGGACAGUAACUGACGUUGAGGCUCGAAAGCGUGGGGAGCAAACAGGAUUAGAUACCCUGGUAGUCCACGCCGUAAACGAUGACUACUAGGUGUGGGGUGGCAAAGCCAUUCGGUGCCGCAGCAUACGCAAUAAGUAGUCCACGUGGGGAGUACGUUCGCAAGAAUGAAACUCAAAGGAAUUGACGAGGACCCGCACAAGCGGUGGAGCAUGUGGUGUAAUUUGAAGCAACGCGAAGAACAUUACCUGCUCUUGACAUCCCGCUGACCGGACGGUAAUGCGUCCUUCCCUUCGGGGCAGCGGAGACAGGUGGUGCAUGGUGGUCGUCAGCUAGUGUCGUGAGAUGUCGGGUUAAGUUCCGCACCGAGCGCAACCCCUAUCUUUAGUAGCCAGCGCCCAGGCCGGUCACUGUCGAGAGACUCCCGGGGAUAAUCCGGAGGAAGGUGGGGAUGACGUCAAAUCUUCAUGCCCGUUAUGAGCAGGGCUACACACGUGCUACAAUGGCGUAAACAAAGGGAAGCGAGACCGCGAGGUGGAGCAAAUCCCAAAAAUAAGGUGUCAGUUCGGAUUGUAGUCCGCAACUAGAAUACAUGAAGCUGGAAUCGAUAGUAAUCGCGAAUCAGAAUGUCGCGGUGAAUACCUUCCCGGGUUUAUACACACCGCCCGCCACGCCAUGGGAGUCAGUAAUGCCCGAAGUCAGUUACCCAUCCGUAAGGAGGGAGCAUCCGAAGGCGG